UAGAUUCAUUCAAACUAACAAUGCAUAUGAGUUUGUCACAGUUUUAACAUAUGCAUUCUUCUUGCAGAUGGUUGAAAAAGAAGGUUAUCUUCAAAAAGCUAAAAUUGCAGAUGGAGGAAAGAAACUAAGUGGGAGAGUUGAUCCAGAAACAUAGCUUCUCAUUACAAUCUACCUCACUUUAAUGAUAAGUGAAAAGGAUUGAGAAGAGUGCUGUAGAUUGUGAUUUGCUACCUGGGACAAUUCUGUGAUAAGAUGCCUGGGAACAGUGUCAGUGAGCGAUAUCUUCAAAACAAAGUUGAGCAACAGCACUGUAGAACAAAAACUGGGCACAAAGCAGAAAGUGUGGAUUUGUAUGGGGCACAUAUAGAAUGGGCCAAGGAAAAAUCAAGCAGAAAGAAUGUCU
Long non-coding RNA from Nycticebus coucang (slow loris), 403 nucleotides. RefSeq lists it as uncharacterized. The record is from RefSeq and is a predicted model, not a curated record. The transcript is spliced from 5 exons. Lineage: Eukaryota; Metazoa; Chordata; Mammalia; Primates; Lorisidae.